GGGUCAGUAGGUUGGUCGUGCCACCGGUACGUACUGGUCUCACUGAUUCCUCCUUCCUGAAGAACCGUAAUGCCAUUAAUUUGGUGUUGCGGGGAAAAAGGACUGUUACUUUGAAAAAAUUAGAGUGUUUAAAGCAAGCUAACGCUUGAAUACAUUAGCAAGGAAUAAUGAAAUAGGAGGAUCGAUCCUAUUUUGUUGGCUUCUAGGAUUGACGUA
Molecule: ribosomal RNA, 216 nt
Filed under: Glomeromycotina sp.
Lineage: Eukaryota; Fungi; Glomeromycota
Description: partial small subunit ribosomal RNA
Rfam family: Eukaryotic small subunit ribosomal RNA (bases 40-216)
Source: RNAcentral